This 64-nucleotide transfer RNA is filed under the name Glycera americana (American bloodworm). RNAcentral's name for it is "tRNA-Tyr". The record is from RNAcentral. Lineage: Eukaryota; Metazoa; Annelida; Polychaeta; Phyllodocida; Glyceridae.
AGUGAGGUGGCUGAGCUUAAGCAAUAGACUGUAGAUCUAUCAACGAAUUAUAUUUCCCUCAUUA